This 274-nucleotide long non-coding RNA is filed under the name Ananas comosus (pineapple). RNAcentral's name for it is "long non-coding RNA (ACOM_LNC039495)". The record is from RNAcentral. Lineage: Eukaryota; Viridiplantae; Streptophyta; Magnoliopsida; Poales; Bromeliaceae.
ACUCGCGCAACAGCCAAACCCGAGAGCCAUCUUCUCGGAUUUUUAUACUGCGUACCGGUACACGAAAUCCUGUCACCGGUACACAGCCUAUUUCCAGCUCAAACCCGAGAGCAGCCUUUUCCUCAGGUCGCUUGCUGUACCAGUACAGCCAUCAAGCUGUACCGGUACACAAUGCUCCAGAGUGCAGUUUUAGCUCGUUUUCGAUUCUAUUUCACACCGAACAACGCUAAAACCAUUCUAACUCUUUUAGAACUCAUUUUUAACCCUUCUACAU